CGGGCUUGUAGUUUAAUUAAAAUAUUAGCAUUGGAAGCUAAAGCUUGGGUAAAUAAUCCCACAUCCCGA
Molecule: transfer RNA, 69 nt
Filed under: Mitrella albuginosa
Lineage: Eukaryota; Metazoa; Mollusca; Gastropoda; Neogastropoda; Columbellidae
Description: tRNA-Pro
Source: RNAcentral